This 698-nucleotide ribosomal RNA is filed under the name Penicillium sp. CM50_2. Its description in RNAcentral is "eukaryotic LSU rRNA". It matches the Rfam family "Eukaryotic large subunit ribosomal RNA", at positions 87 to 804 of the family's 3401-position model. Lineage: Eukaryota; Fungi; Ascomycota; Eurotiomycetes; Eurotiales; Aspergillaceae. The record is from RNAcentral.
CGGCGAGUGAAGCGGCAAGAGCUCAAAUUUGAAAGCUGACUCCUUCGGGGUCCGCAUUGUAAUUUGCAGAGGAUGCUUCGGGAGCGGUCCCCAUCUAAGUGCCCUGGAACGGGACGUCAUAGAGGGUGAGAAUCCCGUAUGGGAUGGGGUGUCCGCGCCCGUGUGAAGCUCCUUCGACGAGUCGAGUUGUUUGGGAAUGCAGCUCUAAAUGGGUGGUAAAUUUCAUCUAAAGCUAAAUAUUGGCCGGAGACCGAUAGCGCACAAGUAGAGUGAUCGAAAGAUGAAAAGCACUUUGAAAAGAGAGUUAAAAAGCACGUGAAAUUGUUGAAAGGGAAGCGCUUGCGACCAGACUCGCUCGCGGGGUUCAGCCGGCAUUCGUGCCGGUGUACUUCCCCGCGAGCGGGCCAGCGUCGGUUUGGGCGGUCGGUCAAAGGCCCUCGGAAGGUAACGCCCCUAGGGGCGUCUUAUAGCCGAGGGUGCAAUGCGACCUGCCUAGACCGAGGAACGCGCUUCGGCUCGGACGCUGGCAUAAUGGUCGUAAGCGACCCGUCUUGAAACACGGACCAAGGAGUCUAACAUCUACGCGAGUGUUCGGGUGUCAAACCCGUGCGCGCAGUGAAAGCGAACGGAGGUGGGAACCCUUUGGGUGCACCAUCGACCGAUCCUGAUGUCUUCGGAUGGAUUUGAGUAAGAGCGUA